AGAACUCGUGAUCUUGUGUUUUCUAGGUUAUUCAGAAAAUAGAUUUCGUGUUCAUAUAACAUACUAUAACAUGGAUACAACAACAACAUCAAAUCAACAACCAUAUGCAAGAUCUGAGCUCAUGAACAUGUUGACAGACGUUUCUGGGUAAGUUCUGGGUUACCCAGAAAUAGAAAGACAUGGUCGGUCAACGCACUUUGACCUUCCAUAACAUGCAAUCUAUACAUGGUAUGACCAUGAAUCCAGUUCCGGAAUACUAACAACAUUAAAAACUAUAACUACAAACCUUUAAAACAC
Molecule: long non-coding RNA, 297 nt
Filed under: Panax ginseng (ginseng)
Lineage: Eukaryota; Viridiplantae; Streptophyta; Magnoliopsida; Apiales; Araliaceae
Description: long non-coding RNA (PGIN_LNC013852)
Source: RNAcentral